RNAcentral lists this small nuclear RNA (119 nucleotides) under Cutaneotrichosporon oleaginosum. RNAcentral describes it as "Trichosporon oleaginosus U5 spliceosomal RNA". It matches the Rfam family "U5 spliceosomal RNA". From Rfam's summary of the family: U5 RNA is a component of both types of known spliceosome. The precise function of this molecule is unknown, though it is known that the 5' loop is required for splice site selection and p220 binding, and that both the 3' stem-loop and the Sm site are important for Sm protein binding and cap methylation. The record is from Rfam by way of RNAcentral. Lineage: Eukaryota; Fungi; Basidiomycota; Tremellomycetes; Trichosporonales; Trichosporonaceae.
GCGGAGGGGGUGAGCACAUACCUUAUAUGCACAUCGCCUUUUACUAUGCGCAUCAGUGUUCCCGCCCCGAUAUCUCCGUUGUUCGAAUUUUUCACAGAACCCUUCCAUCUCGGAAGUCU